CAGCAGCCGCGGUAAAACGAAGGGUGCAAGCGUUAAUCGGAAUUACUGGGCGUAAAGCGUGCGUAGGCGGUUUGUUAAGUCUGCUGUGAAAUCCCCGGGCUCAACCUGGGAAUGGCAGUGGAUACUGGCAAGCUAGAGUGUGUCAGAGGAUGGUGGAAUUCCCGGUGUAGCGGUGAGAUGCGUAGGGAUCGGGAGGAACAUCAGUGGCGAAGGCGGCCAUCUGGGACAACACUGACGCUGAGGCACGAAAGCGUGGGGAGCAAACAGGAUUAGAUACCCCCGUAGUCCCUGUCUCUUAUAC
This 301-nucleotide ribosomal RNA is filed under the name uncultured bacterium. RNAcentral's name for it is "partial 16S ribosomal RNA". It matches the Rfam family "Bacterial small subunit ribosomal RNA", at positions 509 to 807 of the family's 1533-position model. The record is from RNAcentral.